AGCGAACGCUGGCGGCAGGCCUAACACAUGCAAGUCGAACGAACCUUUCGGGGUUAGUGGCGGACGGGUGAGUAACACGUGGGAACGUGCCUUUAGGUUCGGAAUAACUCAGGGAAACUUGUGCUAAUACCGAAUGUGCCCUUCGGGGGAAAGAUUUAUCGCCUUUAGAGCGGCCCGCGUCUGAUUAGCUAGUUGGUUGAGGUAAUGGCUCACCAAGGCGACGAUCAGUAGCUGGUCUGAGAGGAUGAUCAGCCACAUUGGGACUGAGACACGGCCCAAACUCCUACGGGAGGCAGCAGUGGGGAAUCUUGCGCAAUGGGCGAAAGCCUGACGCAGCCAUGCCGCGUGAAUGAUGAAGGUCCUAGGAUUGUAAAAUUCUUUCACCGGGGACGAUAAUGACGGUACCCGGAGAAGAAGCCCCGGCUAACUUCGUG
This 434-nucleotide ribosomal RNA is filed under the name uncultured bacterium. Its description in RNAcentral is "partial 16S ribosomal RNA". It matches the Rfam family "Bacterial small subunit ribosomal RNA", at positions 29 to 507 of the family's 1533-position model. The record is from RNAcentral.